This 1280-nucleotide ribosomal RNA is filed under the name metagenome. Its description in RNAcentral is "bacterial LSU rRNA". It matches the Rfam family "Bacterial large subunit ribosomal RNA", at positions 1674 to 2925 of the family's 2925-position model. The record is from RNAcentral.
CCUUAGCCUCAGGUGAACGAGUGAAACGUGGUCAAGGAACUCGGCAUAAUGAUCCCGUAACUUCGGAAGAAGGGAUGCCUUUUCAGGUUGCCAGACUUGCUCUGGUUGCUCGAAGAGGCCGCAGAGAAUCGACUCAAGCGACUGUUUAGCAAAAACACAGGUGCGUGCCAAGCCGCAUAAGGCGCCGUAUACGCACUGACUCCUGCCCGGUGCCGGAAGGUUAAGGGGAGAGGUUAGCCGCAAGGCGAAGCUUUGAUCCGAAGCCCCGGUAAACGGCGGCCGUAACAAUAACGGUCCUAAGGUAGCGAAAUUCCUUGUCGGGUAAGUUCCGACCUGCACGAAUGGAGUAACGACUUGGGUACUGUCUCGACCACGUGCUCGGCGAAAUAGCAGUCUCGGUGAGGAUUCCGAGUCCCCGCGACAGGACAAAAAGACCCCAUGCACCUUUACUGCAGCUUGUUAUUGACGAUUGCAUAAGACUGUGUAGCAUAGGUGGGAGCCGUUGAGACGGGGGCGCUAGCUCUCGUGGAGGCAACAGUGAAAUACCACCCUGUGUUCUGUGAUCGUCUCACCGCGGUAGGCAAACCCUACCCGGGACCGUGACAGGUGGGCAGUUUGACUGGGGCGGUCGCCUCCGAAAGAGUAACGGAGGCGCGCGAAGGUUGGCUCAGCGCGGUCGGUAAUCGCGCCUAUAGAGUGUAACGGCAGAGGCCAGCCUGACGGUGAGACCGACGGGUCGAACCGAGACGAAAGUCGGCCGUAGUGAUCCGGUAGACCGGUGUGGAUCGGCUAUCGCGCAACGGAUAAAAGGUACGCUGGGGAUAACAGGCUUAUCGCGCCCGAGAGUUCACAUCGACGGCGCGGUUUGGCACCUCGAUGUCGGCUUGUCACAUCCUGGGGCUGGAGAAGGUCCCAAGGGUCCGGCUGUUCGCCGGUUAAAGUGGCACAUGAGCUGGGUUCAGAACGUCGUGAGACAGUUCGGUCUGUAUCCGUCGUGGGCGUUGGAGGGUUGAGGGGUGCGAACUCUAGUACGAGAGGACCGAGUUGGACGAUCCGCUCGUGUCCCGGCUGUGGCGCCAGCUGCAACGCCGGGUAGCGAUGAUCGGUGGCGAUAACCGCUGAAAGCAUCUAAGUGGGAAGCGUCCCCCAAGAUGAACCCUCCCUGGGAACUUGAUUCCCCUAAAGGGCCGGAGGAGACUACUCCGUCGAUAGGCAACAAGUGGAAGUAGCGCAAGCUAUUACGAGCUCAGUUGUCCUAAUCGCCCGUGCGGCUUGACUCC